This 396-nucleotide ribosomal RNA is filed under the name uncultured bacterium. RNAcentral's name for it is "bacterial SSU rRNA". It matches the Rfam family "Bacterial small subunit ribosomal RNA", at positions 524 to 898 of the family's 1533-position model. The record is from RNAcentral.
UACAGAGGGCGCGAGCGUUGUCCGGAAUCACUGGGCGUAAAGGGCGCGUAGGUGGCCACCAUAAGGCCGCGGUGAAAGUCUGGAGCUCAACUCCAGAUCGGCCGCGGCGACUGUGGGGCUUGGGCACGGUAGAGGCAGAUGGAAUUCCGGGUGUAGCGGUGGAAUGCGUAGAGAUCCGGAAGAACACCGGUGGCGAAGGCGGUCUGCUGGGCCGUGGGGGCGCAAGUCCCUAGUAGCCGACACUGAGGCGCGACAGCGUGGGGAGCAAACAGGAUUAGAUACCCUGGUAGUCCACGCCGUAAACGAUGGGCACUAGGUGCUCUGGGGAGCGACCCCCGGGGUACCGGCGCUAACGCAUGAAGUGCCCCGCCUGGGGAGUACGGCCGCAAGGCUGAA